RNAcentral lists this long non-coding RNA (712 nucleotides) under Dromaius novaehollandiae (emu). Its description in RNAcentral is "lncRNA (ENSDNVG00000002215.1)". Lineage: Eukaryota; Metazoa; Chordata; Aves; Casuariiformes; Dromaiidae. The record is from RNAcentral.
AUGUAUGAACGAUCUUUUUUCAGUCUGAUUUGCAUGCCACAGCAAGACCUUCAUGUGGAGAUCUGCAUGAGAAGGAAAAAUAAUGGUGGGUGGAAGAGAAGACAGGAACAACGUGAACUAUAUUUACAUUCUUGGGAAAAGGGGGGCCUGGCAGCUCCUGCCCGUGUGUGCCGUGAAGCAGUGAAGAAGGGCCCUUGCCCCAAGGACCACGCCUCAGCUAAGAGACCAGAGAGAAUGGGUGGGUGCCAGGAACAGAGGACAACAGAAGGAAACGAUGACCGUGCCUCCACAGUUUGGCAAAAGCAGUCUCCAAAGCAGCUGUAAGAAAGGCAUCCUUUGUCCUUCACUCACACAGCCGUGGCCAGACUGUCGGAGGGGGCCCUGGUCAUCCGCUAGCCGUGCUCACGGUCACCGGGCGAAGCGUGCCCUGGAGAGGGCUUGCAGCCGAGACACUGCGCUCAAAGCGAUUGCCAUGCACGCCACAUCAGCGCCUCACAGACAUAUGCUAGCAUUUGUGGUACUGUCAAAAUACGCUUUCGAGCCUGUUUCAGCAGCAAGCCUGCUUAGACUCCGUGCCAGGAAAUGUUAAUUACUGUGGUACAAUCUUCUGUUUUGUGUGGUGCAAUAACAAUUAAUUUAUACCAUUUGGAAAACACUUACACAUUUUUAUUAAAAAUCAAUAAAAGCAAGUCAAUACAGUGUAAAGUAUACA